UACGUAGGGGGCUAGCGUUGUCCGGAAUUAUUGGGCGUAAAGCGCGCGUAGGCGGCCCGGUAAGUCCGCUGUGAAAGUCAAAGGCUCAACCUUUGAAUGUCAGCGGAUACUGCCGGGCUAGAGUCCGGAAGAGGCGAGUGGAACUCCUGGUGUAGCGGUGGAAUGCGCAGAUAUCAGGAAGAACACCAACGGCGAAGGCAGCUCGCUGGGACGGAACUGACGCUGAGGCGCGAAAGCGUGGGGAGCGAACAGG
This 253-nucleotide ribosomal RNA is filed under the name uncultured bacterium. Its description in RNAcentral is "partial 16S ribosomal RNA". It matches the Rfam family "Bacterial small subunit ribosomal RNA", at positions 524 to 776 of the family's 1533-position model. The record is from RNAcentral.